GUAGGUGGCAAGCGUUGUCCCGGGGAUUAUUGGGCGUAAAGCGCGCGCAGGGCGGUCCUUUAAGUCUGAUGUGAAAGCCCACGGCUCAACCGUGGAGGGUCAUUGGAAACUGGGGGACUUGAGUACAGAAGAGGAAAGCGGAAUUCCAAGUGUAGCGGUGAAAUGCGUAGAGAUUUGGAGGAACACCAGUGGCGAAGGCGGCUUUCUGGUCUGUAACUGACGCUGAGGCGCGAAAGCGUGGGGAGCAAACAGGAUUAGAUACCCUGGUAGUCCACGCCGUAAACGAUGAGUGCUAAGUGUUAGGGGGUUUCCGCCCCUUAGUGCUGCAGCUAACGCAUUAAGCACUCCGCCUGGGGAGUACGGCCGCAAGGCUG
This 374-nucleotide ribosomal RNA is filed under the name uncultured organism. RNAcentral describes it as "partial 16S ribosomal RNA". It matches the Rfam family "Bacterial small subunit ribosomal RNA", at positions 527 to 896 of the family's 1533-position model. The record is from RNAcentral.